RNAcentral lists this long non-coding RNA (1163 nucleotides) under Marmota monax (woodchuck). The record is from RNAcentral. Lineage: Eukaryota; Metazoa; Chordata; Mammalia; Rodentia; Sciuridae.
UACAGGUGUGACACAAUAGGGCACAGACCCGAGCAUGACACAGGUGGUGCCAGCUGCCGAGUCAGGUUUCAUGGUUGUGAAGAGGAAAGUAAAGGUGAUGUUCAGCUCGUCUCCCUGAAGACUGUCCAUCUGAAUUAGGAACGGGAAGUCCUUCCUGUGACUCCACUGAAAGAUAUCAGGACUGUGUCCUUGUUGGAGCACAGCCACGUGAAGAUCCGCUCAUUGGCCUACAUCGUAUAGUUUAUCCAAGACGAGUUUACACUUAAACACCCAGCAAGGGGGAUCUCAGAAGAGCACUUAUGAAAUAGACUGAAAUUUAAUGAUAGAUCUUCUUGGGUAGGUGGACUAUCAAGGCACUCAUAAAAUAACAGGGUUCAAAGAAUAAAAAGGUGGGUGUUUUGGUACGUGAGCCCCUUCAGCCUGGUACAUGGAGGGUGCCCAGGUGGUACUGAAUAAAGGGAAAGGUCUGGAAGAGGAAGGACGAAGCAAUUCAGCUGUCAUUCUGGAGACUCUCUUGUAAGACUGCAAACAAGUCUAACAUCAUCAUUAACAGAAUUUAAUACAGAAAGCUUCCAAGAGAGAAACUCCCAAGUCCCCCCUUUAUGACCAAAUUUCUCAGAGGCUCAGUGGAUCUAAAUUUAAACUCCACAGGAAACAGGACCCUUUGCCUCAAGGCACUAAAGGUAACACAUUUCUAUAAGAGGGCCGUCUGCUUAGCCUGUCUCCUUUGGUAUCAAGGGUCUUGAAUUCAAAAAGGAUCAAUAAAAAAAAAAAAAGCACAGAGUUCCUUUUGUGUGCCACUCGCUAUUAACAAAGGAGAAAAAUGUGUGAUUGUCAAUGAGAAUUUGACAACUCAUUUUAACUAAUACCAGUUGAAUUCCCAGAGCUAGAGACUGACCUGGGGUUGGGGGUGACAAGGGUGUGCAGGUAAGACUAGGGACACCCUUUGUUCAGACCAUCAGAACACACACCAGAAAGACCAGGGGGCCUCACCUCAGGGCUACCAUUUCCUCAGAGUCCAUGGUCCUAACCCAGCCUAAGUUUGAUCCACCCUGUGGCUUUUGAUGAAUUCUCAGCUGUUGGUUUCAUACUGCAUUAAUGUAAGGACUUCAUUUCCUACACAUUCACUUGAAACGAGCAAUUAAACUUUUCUUUGUUGUUUA